GUGUGGAGCCGUAGCGAAAGCGAGUUUUAACUGAGCGUUCAGUUACUUGACGUAGACCCGAAACCGGGCGACCUACCCAUGAGCAGGAUGAAGCGAAAGUAAAAUUUCGUGGAGGUCCGAACCCACGAGCGUUGAAAAGCUCGGGGAUGACUUGUGGGUAGCGGUGAAAUUCCAAUCGAGCCCGGGGAUAGCUGGUUCUCCCCGAAAUAGCUUUAGGGCUAGCCUCAAGGUGAGAGAUACGGAGGUAGAGCACUGAAUGUCCUAGGGGGUAUUGCACCUACCGAAGACUAUCAAACUCCGAAUGCCGUCAUCUUAUACUUGGGAGUCAGACUGUGGGUGAUAAGAUUCAUAGUCGAAAGGGCAA
RNAcentral lists this ribosomal RNA (364 nucleotides) under Clostridioides difficile. RNAcentral's name for it is "partial 23S ribosomal RNA". It matches the Rfam family "Bacterial large subunit ribosomal RNA", at positions 658 to 1022 of the family's 2925-position model. The record is from RNAcentral. Lineage: Bacteria; Bacillati; Bacillota; Clostridia; Peptostreptococcales; Peptostreptococcaceae.